RNAcentral lists this ribosomal RNA (492 nucleotides) under uncultured bacterium. Its description in RNAcentral is "partial 16S ribosomal RNA". It matches the Rfam family "Bacterial small subunit ribosomal RNA", at positions 29 to 507 of the family's 1533-position model. The record is from RNAcentral.
AGUGAACGCUGGCGGUAGGCCUAACACAUGCAAGUCGAACGGCAGCACAGUAAGAGCUUGCUCUUACGGGUGGCGAGUGGCGGACGGGUGAGGAAUACAUCGGAAUCUACUUUUUCGUGGGGGAUAACGUAGGGAAACUUACGCUAAUACCGCAUACGACCUACGGGUGAAAGCAGGGGAUCUUCGGACCUUGCGCGAUUGAAUGAGCCGAUGUCGGAUUAGCUAGUUGGCGGGGUAAAGGCCCACCAAGGCGACGAUCCGUAGCUGGUCUGAGAGGAUGGUCAGCCACACUGUAACUGAGACACGUCCCAGACUCCUACGCGAGGAAGCAGUGGGGAAUAUUGGACAAUGGGCGCAAGCCUGAUCCAGCCAUACCGCGUGGGUGCAGAAGGCCUUCGGGUUCUAAAGCCCUUUUGUUGUUAAAGAAAAGCAGCAGGUUAAUACCCCGUUGUUCUGACGGUACCCAAAGAAUAAGCACCGGCUAACUUCGUG